This 916-nucleotide long non-coding RNA is filed under the name Mus pahari (shrew mouse). Its description in RNAcentral is "predicted gene 43846 (MGP_PahariEiJ_G0033016.1)". The record is from RNAcentral. Lineage: Eukaryota; Metazoa; Chordata; Mammalia; Rodentia; Muridae.
GAGUCACACAGUUUUAUUUCUAAUCAAGCACACAUGCCUCUAGGGGAAUCAUAACUUUUAGGCCAGCUUUGGAUGUAUAGUGAGACUCAGAAACAAAACAAACCCACCAACCAUAAGACCCCCUUGUGCUUAGAUUGAGAUGGCUUCCUUCAUCCUGGUUUCUCCUCAAGGAUCCUUCAGAGAGUGGGGUUUCCAUCAAUGUCUCUGAACCCACAAUGCUGAGAUUUCCCUGACUCACACUCUGUGCUAUCAUCUUGCUGGUUGGUUGUUGUUGUUUUUAAGAGAACAACUCAUUAGAUAUGCAUCCCUGGCUGCCCUGGAACUUUAUACAGGCCAGGCUGGUUUCAAAUUCACUGAGAUCUGCCUGUUUCUGCCUUCUGAGUGCUGGGAUCAUAUAUGAACCACCACUCCCAGAUUUGUCUUGAAUUUUUUUUUUUUACAGAAUGAUCUAUGACCUGUGUACUAUGCAAAGAACAGAUAUUGGGGGGGGGGGGAGCAGGGGGAGCUAACAGUCUUCUCUGUAUUUUAAGUCCUGUUUGUGUUGAGUUAAAACAUCUAUACUAAUGGGUAGACACAAAAGAAAUCUGAUAGGCCAGUUGUGGUGGCUCAUGUCUUUGAUCCCAGUACUUGGGAGGCAGAAGCAGGCAGGUCUCUGUGAGUUGGAGGCCAGCCUGGUCUACAAAGUGAGUACAGGAUAGCCAGGGCUUUUACACAGAGAAACCCUGUCUCAACAAAACAGAAGAAAACAAAACAAAACAACAAGCAAACAAAGCAAAACAAAAUAAGAAAACAAAACAAUAAAACAACAAAACAAACAAAAUGGAGUGGGGGAUCCCUGAUUCUAUUUAAAAAGACAGAAACUUAAAGUGUCUGUAAAAGAGUGCACAGUGUUGACAGGAAUCGAGCUGAAUAGAAU